Molecule: long non-coding RNA, 1705 nt
Organism: Nicotiana attenuata
Lineage: Eukaryota; Viridiplantae; Streptophyta; Magnoliopsida; Solanales; Solanaceae
Exons: 3
Source: RefSeq, a predicted model, not a curated record
ACGAGCUUGCUUUGAGCCAAAGCACGCUGGAUUACUCUUGAAGUUUCGCCGAAUGAUGCUAUUGGUAAAGUUCUAAGAAAAGAGCUCUCGGGAAGGGUAAGGUGCUUAGGAUUAGGAGCUGUCCCCAACAAAAUUUUUAAACAUGCAAGACCCUAUUUUGGUGGUAUGAAUACUUCAAGAAGUGAUGCUUCAUGUUUGAACCAUUUCCAAGAGAACUACAAUAAAUUGUCGAAUGCUCACAAACAAAUGAUGAAUGCUUUCCAAGACAUAUAUGAUAAUGAAAGAAGGGACAAUACCAGAACAAUUUGCGGGGGUUCUUUGCUUCUCCACCUACAACGCCAAGAGAUGCAGCUACUGGAUCUCUAUCACCCAAGGACGCAAGAAGAUCAUCCGAUGGCAGUAAUUCAAGUGACAACAAUUGAAGUUCUUUGUAAUUGAAUCUCUAUAUAUAUAUAUAAAACAGGGAUGUUAACUCGCUGAUGUGGCAUGCCUAAUUGAUCAGCAAUUGCCUUUAUCUUUUUUCUCUGUUUUUUGAGUUUUCUCUUCUUUUUUCCUAUUUACCUUAUUCAAUUCAAUGGAGUAAUAAAUUUCUUCUUCUUUCGUUUACCUAUUAAUUUAAUUGAGAAACCCAACCGUUUCAUUCAUUGGUAGUAAUAGCCCAUUAAUUUCUACCAAAACCCUUUCUUCUUCCUCUUUGAUGACAACAAUUUCAAACGCUAAUAUUUCUUUUUUCUCUCCAUGGAUAAAAAGAGGGUUCCACUUUUCCUCCAUGGAUUAAAAGAGAGUUCCACUUUUCUUCUGGAAAUCCAUCAAGGUCCCUGUCAAAAUUGCACUGUAUGUGAUAUGACUUGGAAUUCAACUCAAGUUAGUAAUCUAAGGGGGGAAAGACGGGUAUCUUUUUUUUUUCCCUUUUUCUUUUUAAUUCGAUAAAAAAUUCUUGCUUCAAAUGUGAUAUUCUUCAUGUUUUGCCCUUUUGAUUUAUUUAUUUUAACAGGAAAAACGAUCUUGGCCUGUGUUAUCAAUACAUGCCGUCACCAAAAUUUUAAGCUUUUGAUCAUCUGUCUUCACUUUCUCUUGCAGGUUCAAUAACAGAGAAGCUUUUUUUUUCCAGUUUUUGUAGCAAAAGAUCAACCAUUGUUAUGUUUCAUUGGUCUUAUAUUUAAUUCCUUUUUUUCUAAACUGUUGUUUAAAUGCUUUUUUGGAGACGGACAUAUGAAUUGUCCUUUCAGCGGACUUCACAAAUCGUGAUUAUGGCGCCGGAAAAAGAGAAGACGACUCGCCGUUCUCCUCUCGAUUUCCCAUUGUGAGCUUUCACCGACUAUGCCAAAGAUGCAAUUAUCUGCCUGAAAGUUACAGUAGUGGACCUGCAUCAGAUCCCCUCACCUGCUAGCCAUGUUGGUUAUGGUAAAAAAUUUUGGUCUGAUGUCCGUGGUGGUGGUCCGGGUAGCCCAGCAACUCAAAUAUGUCUGAUGUUACCGUUGAAGAACUCCAAGAACUUUUUGGAAGCAUUGGACAAGUAACAUGAAAUUUCUUUUGGCUAUGAUUAUUGUUUUAGAGUUAUUUUUCUAAUCAUUGUUUUUCUUUAAUUCACAACUCCAUGAUGUUCAAUGUGGUAUUGCUACUUGGAGGAUGAAGAUAACAUGUCCGGAUACUGAAUAUUUUAGAUAUGUCUUUUAAUGAUAAUUUAAAUAUUGCAUGAUUUCAA